RNAcentral lists this ribosomal RNA (257 nucleotides) under uncultured bacterium. RNAcentral's name for it is "partial 16S ribosomal RNA". It matches the Rfam family "Bacterial small subunit ribosomal RNA", at positions 524 to 776 of the family's 1533-position model. The record is from RNAcentral.
UACGUAGGGUGCGAGCGUUAAUCGGAAUUACUGGGCGUAAAGCGUGCGCAGGCGGCUUCGCAAGUCAGGCGUGAAAUCCCCCGGGCUUAACCUGGGAAUGGGCGUCUGAAACUACGGAGCUGGAGUGUGGCAGAGGGAGGUAGAAUUCCACGUGUAGCGGUGAAAUGCGUAGAUAUGUGGAGGAAUACCGAUGGCGAAGGCAGGCCUCCUGGGCCGAACACUGACGCUCAUGCACGAAAGCGUGGGGAGCAAACAGG